UAAAGUGAUCAAUUGCAAG
RNAcentral lists this non-coding RNA (19 nucleotides) under Sclerotinia trifoliorum. Lineage: Eukaryota; Fungi; Ascomycota; Leotiomycetes; Helotiales; Sclerotiniaceae. The record is from RNAcentral.